RNAcentral lists this ribosomal RNA (484 nucleotides) under uncultured bacterium. RNAcentral describes it as "partial 16S ribosomal RNA". It matches the Rfam family "Bacterial small subunit ribosomal RNA", at positions 30 to 507 of the family's 1533-position model. The record is from RNAcentral.
AUUGAACGCUGGCGGCAGGCCUAACACAUGCAAGUCGAGCGGAUGAAGGGAGCUUGCUCCUGGAUUCAGCGGCGGACGGGUGAGUAAUGCCUAGGAAUCUGCCUGGUAGUGGGGGAUAACGUCCGGAAACGGGCGCUAAUACCGCAUACGUCCUGAGGGAGAAAGUGGGGGAUCUUCGGACCUCACGCUAUCAGAUGAGCCUAGGUCGGAUUAGCUAGUUGGUGGGGUAAAGGCCUACCAAGGCGACGAUCCGUAACUGGUCUGAGAGGAUGAUCAGUCACACUGGAACUGAGUCACGGUCCAGACUCCUAUGGGAGGCAGCAGUGGGGAAUAUUGGACAAUGGGCGAAAGCCUGAUCCAGCCAUGCCGCGUGUGUGAAGAAGGUCUUCGGAUUGUAAAGCACUUUAAGUUGGGAGGAAGGGCAGUAAGUUAAUACCUUGCUGUUUUGACGUUACCAACAGAAUAAGCACCGGCUAACUUCGUG